AUUACCUAAGGCAGCAGUGGGGAAUAUUGGACAAUGGGCGCAAGCCUGAUCCAGCCAUGCCGCGUGAGUGAUGAAGGCCUUAGGGUUGUAAAGCUCUUUUACCCGGGAAGAUAAUGACGGUACCGGGAGAAUAAGCCCCGGCUAACUUCGUGCCAGCAGCCGCGGUAAU
This 169-nucleotide ribosomal RNA is filed under the name uncultured Beijerinckiaceae bacterium. RNAcentral describes it as "partial 16S ribosomal RNA". It matches the Rfam family "Bacterial small subunit ribosomal RNA", at positions 338 to 524 of the family's 1533-position model. The record is from RNAcentral. Lineage: Bacteria; Pseudomonadati; Pseudomonadota; Alphaproteobacteria; Hyphomicrobiales; Beijerinckiaceae.